This is a non-coding RNA of Equus caballus (horse), 1946 nucleotides long. Lineage: Eukaryota; Metazoa; Chordata; Mammalia; Perissodactyla; Equidae. The record is from RefSeq and is a predicted model, not a curated record.
CACCCACCUGCCCAGGGCUCACUCCAGGGGCCUGGCAUCCAACUUCCUGCCAACCAGCUGCUUCCUCCUAUCCAACCCACACACUGUGAAACAAACGACAUGAGCUGGACUUUAGACAGAAACCCUGCUUAUCAGGGAGUCCCAGGCAGAUGAACUCUGAGUCUUCAGCGCCUGGAAAACCCCAGGAUACAUCCACUCACACUGCCUUCCACAACCCCCUCACAACGCGGAAACCUCUUCCAUAACUACAUUUGACGAGUGGUGAUCCAGCAGCUCCACCUCAAGCCAAAAUUAGGCUGGAGACCCCAGACAAGCCCAGAUCACAAAGAAACUGAAGAGAAACAGCAGGAGGCGAAAGUGUCCUGGAGCUAGGAAAAGACAAAGGUUCUGGAAUUCCACUACCACAAAUUUCCUAGUUUCGGCUACUGCCAGUCACCGGUUUCGAGGGAACAGCUCUUUCCUGGGAGUAAAUUCAGCUGGGAGAGGGAGGGGAGGAGGAGUGACUCACCAAUCUACAGUUUCGAGGUAUGUCUAACCCUGAAUGGCAAAGCUAGAAGGGCUCGAGUUGGAAACAUCAGCAGGAAACACCACGACUCAGGCUCACAGGCCGCAGUUCCUCCCUCCUGGAAUGCCUCAGUGGGGACACUACAGGGGUGGGGGGCAAACACCAGGGUUCCAACCUAGGUUCCCCUCUCUCCCCUGUGGUUACCCCAAACAUCAUCCUGACCACACGGCACCCCGCUGAGCGGAAAUGCCUUUCCCUACCUGGGAGGUAGCCGGGAACUUUUCUAAGUACAGGCUCUCUAGAGGGAGGGAGACUGGUACUCUUUUAGACACGAGUUUUGCUUUUCCCAAGCCCAGUGCUCCCUGUGCUUCACCUCCCAUCCCCGCCCGAGCAGGCUCAGGCCUUCCUCUCCGCUAGCUUCCCCAGCCUGCAGUAGGGCCUCUGCUUGACUUGAUCAUGUCUUGCCCUUUCCUCUUCCUCCCUGAUGGCAGAGCCCACAAUGAGCAGCAGCCCUGGAGGGAGGGAGAACACAUGGGAAUCUUGUAUUUGCUUCCGACGUCCCAGGGGCAAAGGACAGAUUAGAUGCCCAAGAAAGAACCCCUGCCAUUUGGAUCUAUCAGGGUCUCCCUGCUUUCUUUGACCUACUCUACGAGGGGCAGCAUUCUUUCAUCCUCAUAAAAUCCAAAGGGGAUAUCAGCUGCCCAAUAACAAAUAAUCCCUUCACAUAUAUGUAAUGUAGCCAUUAGCCCAGUUGAUCCUCAGGACAGGCUUGGGACAAGUAUUAUUACUCCUUUUUACAGAUGAAAACACUGAGCUACUUAGCCUAAGAUCACAAAGAAGGCAGAAAGCCAAGCUAGAACCCUGGGAGGAUGACCUUGCCUCUAGUCCCAUCUUCAUUGUACUAAUCAAAUCACUCCCCCCAGCUCUAGCCUGAUUUAAAUGUGACAAAGUCAGUUCCUCACACCCCCACCCUGCCCCCCUCCAACACCUUACUACCCAGGACCCACUGUCCUGUCAAGCUUACAUAAUAUCAUCUCAGGCUCCCUCUGAACCACUGUUUCUUGAUUCCCUGAACAUCCCCAAGCUCAGAAUGGUGCCAUCACAACGCUGUCAGAGCCAGUAUAUCACUGUGUGAUUAUCACAAUAUAGAAAAUUAGAGGGAGAGAAAAGAAGAGGGAAGGGGAGCAGCACACAGUUCCAGGAAGCUUACAAGCCUGACAAAUACUGUCACAAAUAAAGUCACUGACUCAGAAACUUCUAGGUUUGGGGGGAAAAGUACUAUCACAGUACAAGAGUUGGGAAAGUCUUUAGUACUGAGCCACACAGAACCAAAAAAUGACCAUGAGUGUUAGCAGUUCUAAGAUAAAUGCAGAAGUAAAUAGGUGAGGGUAGGAAAAGAACGAAAAUUGAAAAAAAAAAAAAAAGGAAGGGGAGAAUGGAA